ACCACCGUCUCACGCUGCCACUC
RNAcentral lists this non-coding RNA (23 nucleotides) under Arabidopsis thaliana (thale cress). The record is from RNAcentral. Lineage: Eukaryota; Viridiplantae; Streptophyta; Magnoliopsida; Brassicales; Brassicaceae.